AGAAAAAGAAAAAGAAAAAAAAAUAAGCAAUAAUUUGGUAUUGAAAUAAGUGAAGUGAGUGACGCAUACGGUGAUACUUUGUAUCGAAGCAUAGAGAUUGAGCAAGAAUAAGACUAGGAGGGAAAAAAAAGGCCACCUAAAUCAAUAUUUAACCAUUCAACUUUUAUCCAAUAUUUCUCGCACACCAACCAACACAACACAAGAGCGGUACUCGAUUGGCUCCGCCUGCGACUAUUUGCUCUCCCCCCUGCCAACUGCCAAGUACCAACACAAGUGCCAGUUUUGUCUCUGGUUAUAUGGCAUCUUGAGACCAAUAUCCCAACAAGUAAAAAGGGUAUUCUCGUCAUUUCACACGUCAUCAAAUCAUAUCACAUAUUGACAUGGGUACGAAAUUUCUUGGAAAUGAUACCAUAAUAAUAAUAAUAAUAAUACAUUCUGUUUCAAAUUCUCUCACAAAGAUUCGACGAGUGGAAACGAAAACAUGGCUUCACAUGUUUGUACAUUGACAUUUACAUCCGUACGGUUGUUGUACAACCAUUCGAUGCAUGCAUGUGUGUGUCGGGACAAAUGUAGAUUGUUUUGUGGAGAACAUUCGCUAAAAUGGAAAUUGAAGGAUGAAUUAACGUGGCUUUCAAAUCAAACUUUUAAGGACAUAAAAUGCGCACCCAUUUUAGUUAUUCGUAUUAAUUACUUAUAUUAAUAGUGAUAACACAUAAAAAAAAAAAAAGGAAAUGUUCUUGACAAAGAGAAUAAUUCUAAAAAUGCUUCAUGGGCAUUGAGUUGGGUAACAAACGUUACAAAGGUGCCAAUGCAACGAAGGCAAACCAGAACUUUAAUGCUAAGAAUUUAUUCCGUUUUCCAAAGUUAGGAAUAAAACAGAAUAAUUGUAAAGAUGAAAGAAAGAAGGGUACACUUAAAGGGACCAUUCUUUAACUUUAAACUUUAUGUAGAAAAAUAAAUUAACAAUUAACAACACAAAAUAGACACAUCUCUAAUCAGCAUAUUUCCACUUGUAAAAAAGCAUGUGGUGUUAAAACUUAAAACCCUACUCCGUAAAAAAGUUAUUCUUCCAAUUACCCUGAAACGUGGUCGAUUUAAAAGAUAUUAAGGUGAACCUUAUUAUUUGAUAAAUGUGAUUAUGAUUUAAAAAUAAUAAUAAUAAUAAAAAGAAUAGAUGAAUGAGUAGACUGGUAAAUUAAAAGGCUGCAAGUGAUGGGCUAAUGAGUCGCUAUCAAGAAAGUGGAAACAAAAUGGUCCUCUGAAAAUCUUAUGGUCCAUUUUUCCAAGAGAAGAGAGACAACAUGUUAACAAAAAACCAACAACUAAAAUUUAAAUAAGUUGAUGAAUUAUUACUUGAAAGUACUGUUAUAUCAGUUGAAAAGCUAAUCAGAUGUUAUAUAUACACCAAAAUAACUGAAACAUUAACAACAUCAAGACAAAUACUAUAACAGACAAUGAAAAUGAAAAGGCUACAACAAGAGAGACCCUCAACAAUGAUGUGGAAUACUUACGAAUAUAUUUAAAUAAAAAAAAAAAGACUUAGUUGGGUAGAAAAUGUCAUUAAUUCCAAAGUUAAGGGUCUCUCAUGUAACAGUAUAAACAUGUAGUAAGUAAGAUACCAACUCUUUACCUGUUUGUCCUUCUUUUUUCCUAUCAAAUGUUGUGGAAUUUGUUUUUUCAAGAUGAAAGGGUAAAAGGGUCAUUUUGUCUUGUUCAAAGUUUUUAAAAAGAAACAGGCUUUAUAUAUACAGAACUUUAUCUAGACAAACAUCUUUACACAUUUUUAGCCACUUUACUCAUACACGAGUUAAUGGAGAAAAAUGGAAAAAAGAAAAAGCCACAAAAAGGUUGUUUAAGCCAAAUUAUUAGCACUUAUCACCAAAACUGUUAUAGAAAAGGGAAUAUCAAUGUAAAAACAUGAAAUUAACAUAAAAACAAAAACAAAGAGUAUAAGAAUUUCUAAAUUUAUAAUUUCAAACUCCUUAUGGCAAAAACAGGCAUCAAAACAUGAGUAAAAGACUCAUUAAGAAGUUUAAAUUACAUACACUUGGGAUUUAUAACUUUAAUUAAUAAGUUAUAAAGAUAAACAUAAUCACGAAUCAGUUUAUACUCACUAAAGGAUUACUAAAGAAGCAGUUUGAUAAAAUGAUGGAAAAACAUAUGAAUCAUAAACAGAAAGGAGGAGUAACAUACCUGUUGGGGACAAAAAGGCAGAUUAAGAGAACCAUUAACAACAAAAUGAACCAUGAAAAGAAUCUGCAUUAUGGUUGCACAAAUGGAAAAAAGUCAAAAAUAGUUCUUGCAGAUGUAAUAAUAUGUACAAAGUUAGGUAGUAAGAGUGUAAGACAUCUUAUCAAAACUUUCACAACCAAUAAAAAGUUUUGUCCCAAAUCGAUUACUAGUCUUUGUUUGAUGAUUUGAUCUAUAAACUUUGUGAUUCUUUUGGGAAUGCUACACUUAAUCAUAACUUUUAUUGUGCACCUUGAACAAACAAGUCAUGUUUUGUAGGGAAAUGUGAGUGGAAGAGAUAGCAUAAAAUUACUGAUAAGCAUAUUGGAAGACCAUUUAAUCACAAAGCCAAGAAAAUAAAGGCUAGUUUAGCAUUAGUAAUGUGCAAUUUUAUUUGCUAAAAUGGUGUACUUUAGAAGGUUAUUGCUUUUGUUGAUGAAAACUGUCUUACCCAAUAGGAACCAAGUCCAUGGAAAACAAUCUCAAGGACUGGAGUUCAUCUUCCCUGUGUCUUCAAGAUCUUUUAUCUGCAACUCCAUACAGAUUCAGAUUCCACAAAGAUAAACAAUUAGGUAAAUAUCAUCAACCAGUUAAAUGUAUAACAAAUACCUAGUGAAUUUCUAUAGAAAUUGAACAAAAACGUGAACCAUACUGUUCUGGAAUUCACACACAUAUAGAUACAAAUAGAUAGAAGUUUACCUGUAAGAUCAUUUGCGAGAGCGUUAGAAGAACCUCCAUUGACAUUAUUAGCCAUAUCAGGCAACCAAAAUCCUAUCGCGAAAACGAUGAUCGUCUUCUUCUUACCGCAAUUUCAAACCAAACCCCCACUAGCUGCAUCGUAAUCAUUCAAAAGCACGGGCACGAUGAUCGAAUCGACUUCAAUUGUAAUGAACAACCGCAGGCAGCUGAGCCAGCUUGUAGAGAGACACUCAUGCCUCCAAUAGGGGUGUACGGAGCCCUCUACCGUUCUCGACCUUGCGUGAGGAAUUUUGCUCUGAGAUGAGUUAUCAAUUCGUAGUAGUAGCACUCGUUUGUAAUUGUCUAUGCCAAUUGGAUUGAAGUUGACAACACUUGAUUGAUCGCUUUUGCUGUCAAAAACUUAUGAAUCCUACAAAAAUUGAUCCACUUUUACUUCAAAUUGGGCCAGUUCAAACAAAUGUAUGUGUUUUUGUUUACUUUUGUGUCUUUGAGACUCCAUGGUUAUGAUAAUUGGAUACCUUGGGUUCAAUUGAAGACGGCACUGUUUCUUGACUCUUGACAGCGAUGCUAAACCCAGAACAACUAACUAUGAGUUUCAA
Molecule: long non-coding RNA, 3527 nt
Filed under: Lactuca sativa (garden lettuce)
Lineage: Eukaryota; Viridiplantae; Streptophyta; Magnoliopsida; Asterales; Asteraceae
Description: long non-coding RNA (LSAT_LNC006880)
Source: RNAcentral